Molecule: small nuclear RNA, 107 nt
Filed under: Catagonus wagneri (Chacoan peccary)
Lineage: Eukaryota; Metazoa; Chordata; Mammalia; Artiodactyla; Tayassuidae
Source: RNAcentral
GUGUUAGCUUCAAGGCCGCACAUGUUAAAAUUAGACAAAACAGAGAAAAUUACCCAUGGCCCCUGCAUAAGGGUAAAAUGUGAAUUUGUGGAGCAGUCCAUAUUUUU